UUUUUAUUCUCCAGAUGCUCUAAGAACUUCAUCCUUAACCCCCUCAAACGAAGAGACCCAGAAAAAAAUCCACAGGGAUUGCUUGGCCGACUACAAGGCUAAGGUUGAAAGUACAAGAUCAAUCUGCGGGCCUGCUGAAGAAAUGACUGCCUGUUACAAGUCUAAAGGAGAAGCUGAAGGUGUCUUCCACGGUCUCAUCUCACAGUUACACUCCACUCUGAAGAUUGUCGUACCCUUGGUCACGAGAGUGCUCGAAAAAAGCUUACCCUUAGUAUGUAAGGCGUCAGAUAGCAGGCGCUAGACGUACCCAGAACAGUCAGAACCGCUGCUCCCCUCGUAUUCUAACUAACUGCUAGUAGUUUGAGAAAUAAUCGCCUUGCUCGUUUUUUUUUUUUUUUUAUUUGACCCUAUUUUUGACUUGCGUGACUAGUGUCGUCUGACGUGACAGCCAUGUGGUUUACAUGACCAUCAGUGUUCGCGGUUUGCGUGAAUAAUAUUCAGCCUGCGUGACAUACGUCUGAAUUGCGUGACCUUGACGACGUGACAACGUAACUUGCGUAACGAGUCUUUUAUUUGUUUGACAGACCUUUUUGUCCAGUUCCCUUUGUUAACACUAUUUAAAAAAUUUCCCAUACUUUUCCGUGCUAUGUACUCUUAUACACCACGAUAUUCGUCACCCCAUGAUCAAAAUGUUUUGGAGUCACGAGGCUCGUAGCGUAACUUUAGCUUCAAAACCCUGCAGUCUUCGUUACUUUAAGUGUUGGAAAAGUGUCUUUUUCGCAUUCAUGUGAACCUGCAAGGAUUGUGUGAAUGACGAAUCCCAUGGGAUGUCCUCUGAUUUACCAUAGCUAACAACCAAUCAGAAAGCGAGAUUACGUGCAAGUGUUGUAGAAUACACUCUUUCUUAAACCUUUUUUAUAAGAACGUCCAGCCUGAGAAUUCACCAAAUUUUAAAAACAUGCCAAGGCUUCUUUUGUUUCUUUUUAGUCCUGAUGCGUUUUAAAAUGCAAAAUCAAAUUGAACAUCAUUAAGAACAUAUUUAGCCGUAAAAAUUUCCCAAAAUGAGAACGACCCAGCCUCAAUUGAAAAUUAGACGUUCUUAUAAAAAAAGAAUCCAACUUAAGAGACACAACUCACUUUUUGUCAAAAACCUCUUUUAAAAAAUAGUUUCUCCAAGAAUAAUCCUGCCCAUGUAUCUUCACAGCUAAUGACGUCACGCAAAUUGAAAACAGGGUCUUUGGGCUGUUAAUAUUGUGAACUGUAUUGGCAAAACAUAAAAAAUGAUUACUACCUUAGAGAUAAACGGCCGCGAGUUCUUUAACUUAAAUGGCUCUCGAUUGUUUACCAAGAGAUAAAUGUUUGAGUGUGAGAUCGAUUGUAUAACUGGGGCAUUUAUUAGGUAUAGUGUGCAUCAAAUAAAUAUGAGCAUUGAAA
RNA transcript from Nematostella vectensis (starlet sea anemone), 1434 nucleotides. RefSeq lists it as uncharacterized. The record is from RefSeq and is a predicted model, not a curated record. NCBI's taxonomy places the organism in Eukaryota, Metazoa, Cnidaria, Anthozoa, Actiniaria, Edwardsiidae. The transcript is spliced from 2 exons.